AACGAACGCUGGCGGCAUGCCUAACACAUGCAAGUCGAACGAAGCCUUCGGGCUUAGUGGCGCACGGGUGCGUAACGCGUGGGAAUCUGCCCUGGGGUUCGGAAUAACAGUUAGAAAUGACUGCUAAUACCGGAUGAUGUCUUCGGACCAAAGAUUUAUCUCCCAAGGAUGAGCCCGCGCAGGAUUAGGUAGUUGGUGGGGUAAUGGCCCACCAAGCCGACGAUCCUUAGCUGGUCUGAGAGGAUGAUCAGCCACACUGGGACUGAGACACGGCCCAGACUCCUACGGGAGGCAGCAGUGGGGAAUAUUGGACAAUGGGCGAAAGCCUGAUCCAGCAAUGCCGCGUGAGUGAUGAAGGCCUUAGGGUUGUAAAGCUCUUUUACCAGGGAUGAUAAUGACAGUACCUGGAGAAUAAGCUCCGGCUAACUCCGUGCCAGCCGCCGCGGUAA
RNAcentral lists this ribosomal RNA (449 nucleotides) under uncultured bacterium. RNAcentral's name for it is "partial 16S ribosomal RNA". It matches the Rfam family "Bacterial small subunit ribosomal RNA", at positions 29 to 523 of the family's 1533-position model. The record is from RNAcentral.